UGCAACCCGACUCCAUGAAGCUGGAUUCGCUAGUAAUCGCGCAUCAGCCACGGCGCGGUGAAUACGUUCCCGGGCCCUUGUACACACCGCCCGUCAAGCCAUGGGAGUCGGGAGUGCCUGAAGUGCGUGAGCGCGAGCAGCGCCCUAGGGCAAAACCGAUGACUGGGGCUAAGUCGUAACAAGGUACC
This 188-nucleotide ribosomal RNA is filed under the name uncultured bacterium. RNAcentral's name for it is "partial 16S ribosomal RNA". It matches the Rfam family "Bacterial small subunit ribosomal RNA", at positions 1306 to 1500 of the family's 1533-position model. The record is from RNAcentral.